RNAcentral lists this ribosomal RNA (1881 nucleotides) under human gut metagenome. Its description in RNAcentral is "bacterial LSU rRNA". It matches the Rfam family "Bacterial large subunit ribosomal RNA", at positions 3 to 1979 of the family's 2925-position model. The record is from RNAcentral.
UCAAGCUAUAAAGAGCACAAGGGGAAUGCCUUGGCACUAGGAGCCGAAGAAGGACGUGACUAACUGCGAAAAGCUACGGGGAGUUGUAAGUAAACAUUGAUCCGUAGAUUUCCGAAUGGAGCAAUCCGGCUGUGGUCAUGCACAGUCAUCAUAUACUGAAUACAUAGGUAUAUGAGGGGAACCGCCUGAACUGAAACAUCUAAGUAGGGCGAGGAAGAGAAAUCAACCGAGAUUCCGCUAGUAGUGGCGAGCGAACGCGGAAGAGGCCAAACCAGAGGUAGAAAUACCUUUGGGGUUCGGACAACAUACGAUAUUGAUAAUUUCUAGCUGAAUAGUGUGGGAAAGCUAACCGAAGAAGGUGAGAGUCCUGUAAGCGAAAGGAAGAGUCAGUCAGUUGUAUCCAGAGUACCGCCGGACACGUGAAACCCGGUGGGAAUACGGGGGGACCAUCCUCCAAGCCUAAAUACUACCUAGUGACCGAUAGAGAAGAAGUACUGUGAAGGAAAGGUGAAAAGCACCCCGGGAGGGGAGUGAAAGAGAACCUGAAACCUUGUGUUUACAAGCACCGAAAGUCCAUCAAAGGACGAUCGGGUACCUUUUGUAGAAUGGUCCGGCGAGUGUAUGUAUCUAGCAAGGUUAAGCACUUAAGGUGUGAAGCCAAAGCGAAAGCAAGUCUGAAUAGGGCGACAAGUUAGAUGUAUACGACCCGAAACCGGGUGACCUACCCAUGGCCAGGCUGAAGUGAAGGUAAAACUUCAUGGAGGGCCGAACCGACUCCCGUUGAAAUGGUAGCGGAUGAGUUGUGGGUAGCGGAGAAAUUCCAAUCGAACCCGGAGAUAGCUGGUUCUCUCCGAAAUAGCUUUAGGGCUAGCCUUGAAAUAGAUUACUGGAGGUAAAGCACUGAAUUGGCUAGGGGCCGAAAGGUUACUGAACCUUAUCAAACUCAGAAUGCCAGAUAAUCGUUUUUCAGGAGUCAGACGGUGGGAGAUAAGUUUCAUCGUCAAAAGGGAAACAGCCCAGACCCACAGCUAAGGUCCCAAAUUAUAGUUAAGUGGAGAAGGAUGUGGGAUUGCAUAGACAACCAGGAUGUUGGCUUAGAAGCAGCCACUCAUUAAAAGAGUGCGUAAUAGCUCACUGGUCGAGUGAUCCCGCGCCGAAAAUUUAACGGGGCUAAACUAUAAACCGAAGCUUGGGAUACCGCAAGGUAUGGUAGGAGAGCGUCAUGUAAGGGGUGAAGUCAUAGCGAAAGCGGUGGUGGACUUUACAUGAGUGAGAAUGCCGGAAUGAGUAGCGAGAAUUAAGUGAGAAUCUUAAUGGCCGAAAGUCUAAGGUUUUUGGAGGAAGGUUCGUCCGCUCCAAGUAAGUCGGGAGCUAAGGCGAGGCCGAAAGGCGUAGUCGAUGCACAUACGGUUGAUAUUCCGUAACCACUGACAACUUAAACAAAAUGACACUUUAGAAGGGCUUGACCCGGGUGCUGGUAAUCCCGGGCGUAAGGGACCGAAAUUUAGUAGGGAAGCAAGCUUGGAUGGAGGCGAGAAAAGUUUUGUGUAUGUAAUGUUGGUGCCCGUACCGCAAACCGACACAGGUGGACAGGAAGAGAAUUCUAAGGCCAGCGGGAGAAGGGUAGUUAAGGAACUCGGCAAAUUGACUCCGUAACUUCGGGAAAAGGAGUGCUCUCGAGAGAGAGCCGCAGUGAAUAGGCCCAGGCGACUGUUUAGCAAAAACACAGGUCUCUGCCAAAUCGAAAGAUGAAGUAUAGGGGCUGACACCUGCCCGGUGCUGGAAGGUUAAGAGGAGGAGUGAGAGCUCCGAAUUGAAGCCCCAGUAAACGGCGGCCGUAACUAUAACGGUCCUAAGGUAGCGAAAUUCCUUGUCGGGUAA